GCAAUACCCAGGAUGCAACACUGCUGUCAGCAGCAAGGUUAACAGCCUGAUUCCUGUGGAGUGAGCCAAUACAAACGAAGCACUUCAGUUCCAGUCAUUACCUGCUCAUCAACUCAACAUACUAAACAGAUUACUGCUCCAUCGAACUUUCCAGUCAAGUCCAAAUAGUGAUUGAGGACAUCAUUUGCCAAUUCCCCCCCCCUCUUCAUUAGUCCACCUCCCCUACAGUAAGCCAGCUGUUACUGUCAACUCCUGCAGGAUGAUGAAUGAUGUGAGUCACAGCUAUAAUGGUGGGAAGCACACAAACAGUUCCAAGGGGUGUCAGCAGGAGCAGGUGGAGGGCACUCUGCCACAUGGUGAACCAUCCGUCUGUUGCUGCCUGUCUCCAGAUCUCGCCAGGUACAGAGCAUACCAAUCCAGCAGAGCUAAGAGAGAGGCAAGCACUAUGCUCCAGUUUCAAGACACUGAACGCAACACUUGUGGGAAGAGAAAUUGCAGCCAAGACAUCAGACAAAGACUGACUGUGAGGCAGCAGAACGGACAUCUUUGCUGGCUUCAGCUAUUUGUUUUUUUGUUGUUUUUUUCCAGGAUUUGCAAGUGAGAAAGUGUUCAUUUCAAGCCACACUGCCAAUUCAUCAAGAAGUACAUUAAAAAACAUCAAUAUCAAUGCAGAAAUGGCUGUUGGAAGUCAACGUCUGCUUCUGGUUGUAGGCGAGAUAUGAUUUCAAGAAAGACCCAGAAUAUUGGAAUUCUAUUUUAAUAAAGUACAAAACAUACAUAUCGA
Molecule: long non-coding RNA, 784 nt
Organism: Notolabrus celidotus (New Zealand spotty)
Lineage: Eukaryota; Metazoa; Chordata; Actinopteri; Labriformes; Labridae
Exons: 4
Source: RefSeq, a predicted model, not a curated record